UAAGGAAUAUUGGUCAAUGGAGGCAACUCUGAACCAGCCAUGCCGCGUGCAGGAAGACGGCCCUCUGGGUUGUAAACUUCUUUUAUUCGGGAAUAAACCUAUAUACGUGUAGAUAGCUGACUGUACCGAAGGAAUAAGCAUCGGCUAACUCCGUGCCAGCAGCCGCGGUAAUACGGAGGAACCAAGCGUUAUCCGGAUUUAUUGGGGUUAAAGGGUGCGUAGGCGGCCUAUUAAGUCAGUGGUGAAAGACGGGAGCUCAACUAUCGAAGGGCACCUGAUACUGAUGGGCUUGAAUGAGCUAGAGGUAGGCGGAAUGUGACAAGUAGCGGUGAAAUGCAUAGAUAUGACACAGAACACCGAUGGCGAAGGCAGCUUACUAGGGUUUUAUUGACGCUGAGGCACGAAAGCUAGGGGAUCAAACA
Molecule: ribosomal RNA, 422 nt
Filed under: uncultured bacterium
Lineage: Bacteria
Description: bacterial SSU rRNA
Rfam family: Bacterial small subunit ribosomal RNA
Source: RNAcentral